UACGUAGGGUGCGAGCGUUGUCCGGAAUUAUUGGGCGUAAAGAGCUCGUAGGCGGUGUGUCGCGUCGGCCGUGAAAACCUGCAGCUUAACUGUGGGCGUGCGGUCGAUACGGGCAUCACUGGAGUUCGGCAGGGGAGACUGGAAUUCCUGGUGUAGCGGUGAAAUGCGCAGAUAUCAGGAAGAACACCCGUGGCGAAGGCGGCUCUCUGGGACGGUACUGACGCUGAGACGCGAAAGCGUGGGGAGCGAACAGG
This 254-nucleotide ribosomal RNA is filed under the name uncultured bacterium. Its description in RNAcentral is "partial 16S ribosomal RNA". It matches the Rfam family "Bacterial small subunit ribosomal RNA", at positions 524 to 776 of the family's 1533-position model. The record is from RNAcentral.